Long non-coding RNA from Coturnix japonica (Japanese quail), 643 nucleotides. Lineage: Eukaryota; Metazoa; Chordata; Aves; Galliformes; Phasianidae. The record is from Ensembl.
GUUAAUUGACUUUGCUUUAAUCAGCCCAAUGAAUAUUCAUUAGCGUGCUGGUCCUAAUCACGGGGGCCAUGUUGGCCGCGUUCAGCAGGCGCUCGCCCAGCCCCGUGCAUGGCUCAGCAGCCGCCGUCCGCCCGCACCGCAUCGGGGCUGCGGGGAUUGGCCCACGGCUGCCUCCGGGAUGCCAUAGCAACCCCUGGCCCGUUGUCGUGGUAACAGAGGGGUUUUGUAAGGGCCUGAGCCAGUAAUCCAUAGGCUUAGAAGCGGCAACGUGCCUUUGUGGGGCGUGCGGGAUGGAUGGAUGGAUGGAUGGCCGAGAGAUUGGAUGGGCGGGCAGCGUGCGUGGCUCCCAUUGUGUGCCCGCGCCGUGGGAGGGGGCUGCGGGGUCUCCUCCUCCUCCUCGCCUCGAGAUGGGCUUUGGGGCUACAAAAAUCCCUGCAAAGUGGUCCCCACUGAGAAAAAGAACCCUCAAGACAAAACAGAAGGCAAGAGCUGACGGUUUUCUUCAUUCUGAAGUUGAGUCUCCAUUUCCUUCACCAGAAUGAUUCCUGAGCCAACUUUUCAGCAACACCAGAGAUAUUUCAGGAUAUAGAUUGUGAGUCCUGAGUCUUGCAAUCGAUGCCAAUGGGAAAACCACCACCAGAGA